Molecule: long non-coding RNA, 2713 nt
Filed under: Eucalyptus grandis
Lineage: Eukaryota; Viridiplantae; Streptophyta; Magnoliopsida; Myrtales; Myrtaceae
Description: long non-coding RNA (EGRA_LNC006528)
Source: RNAcentral
UUUUGAGCGUACGUUUCCUCUCCCUCUCUCCCUCCAAAAGACAAACAAGCGCUAAAGACGACGCCGUCUUCCCUUCAAGGCCAAUUGACGUCAUCGGAUCAAAUGAGAUCGUUUUCUCUUCCUCUUAUCGGCGUUAGUGUUUCAUCUGUGGCUAACAAGGUACGCUCGAUUCCGUGGUGUGCUUUAGGAUCGGUGAUACAUGUGAAUUUCCCAGGCUUGUCUUCUGCAUUCGUUUUAGGGGUUCGAUUUAGCGUCGAAUCUGUUUUUGGGAAUCCGACAAUCCCAACAACAACGAACAAAAAAAAAUUGUGAAGUGACUAGUCCUUAGUCCCAGGACUAGCUAGUUUAGUUCCAGAAAUGGGGAACCUGUUUUCUUGGUCCAGUUCCCAAUUUUUAGUAGGACCGGACCGGAUUGAGAACCGAUCACUCCUAUCACGUAUCGGCAAGCAAAAGGGGAAGCCACCUUACCCCACAAAAAAAUCCCACUCUCUCUAUUUCUCUCUCCUCCGCUUUCUCUAUCCUCAAGUUUUAAGAUUUGCAUGCACAAAACUCCCGACAAACCCCAACGUUGCGGCUGCCGUCCCUGGCCUUCGUGCAACCCCACCGUCUCGUUUCAACUCUGCCCCCACGAUCGUCGCCUCUCUCCUUCACAAUCGUACGUUGCUACUUCGUAUAAUAUGUGGGCCUUAUACUUGUAUGGUGGCCCUUUAACGUACUUUUGUAUGCUCUUUGGUCUAUGUGACUUUUUUGUACUUAUAUAGGCAGGCGAGUCUACGGUUUCCAACAGUGCCUCUCGGGCCUCCUCCAUUAGCUUGAAAAAUAAAAAUCACAACCUUCCUUAUUGAGAUUAGUUGAAACUCUAAUCUAUUACAAUUCAAUCUAAUAGUGAAAGAUUCUAUGGGUACAGUACUUCUUAAAGCCUGUGGUUAGCUAUAUAACUUUUUUAUUAUAGGAAGUGCGCAGCAUAAGUUCAAUACCUUUCGUCAGGGGAAAUCUCCAAAAACUUAAGCCAAUGAGUUAUGAGUCAAUUAAGAUAUAAUAAUUGCUCUGCACCACACCAAUUUUCAAAUGCGGGACUUUUUUAACACAACUUACAUGUGUAUCUUAACAUUUACUACACAAGUCAUGUUUGUCACUGCUUAUUUGGUAAUUGAUUGAUUUCUAAAUUACUAAGCUUUUUGACUACUUGUAAUUUCCAUUUAAUGAUUUCACACACGAUAAUUCUUUUAUUUUUCCUUUAAGUGUUCAAAUUAUUGUUUCAAUUACUUCCCCUGAUGCACAUUACUUGCCUCGAGUGGCAAAAAAACAAAAACAAAAACAAAAAAACAAAAAACUAAUGGUUGAUUAUUAUCUUCUUUAUCAAUUUGUGUGGAGAAGAGAAAAAGGAAGCAAAAGGUAGCUUGGAAAGAAAUCCAAAAGACAGAAAAGAUGGUUAAUAGAUAUCUUUUUCAUCAUCCAUGAUCUCCAAACGCACGGAUAGAUGCAUACCGUCCAUUGGUUUGUGAUUUUCUUCUUGCCUAAUUGUUUCUCCUACAAUAACCGUGGUUAGUUAAUAUCUCAUUGGCACGUUACUUGCCUUGAGUGGCUAGCAAAAAUCUAGUGGUCGAUUAUUAUCUUCUUUAUCAGUUUGUGUGGCAAAGGAAAAGGAAGCAAAAACUAGCUCGGAAAAGAAAUUCAAAAGACAGAAAAGAUGGUUAAUAGUUGUCUUCUUCAUCACCCAUUAUCUCCAAAAUGCACAAACAGAUGCACACCGUCCAUCGGUUUGUGAUUUUCUUCUUGCUUAAUUGUUUCUCAUUCAAUAAUAGCUGUGGUUAGUUAAUAUCUCAUUGGCACAUUACUUGCCUCGAGUGGCAAGCAAAAAUCUAGUGGUCGAUUAUUAUCUUCUUUAUCAGUUUGUGUGGCAAAGGGCAAAGGGAAAAUGAAGCAAAAAGUAGCUCGUAAAAGAAAUUCCAAAAGACGAAAAAGAAGGUUAAUUGCUGUCUUCUUCGUCAUGUGUGGUGAAGGGGCCAGCGUUUAUCUCCAAACGCAUGGGCAGAUGCACACCGUCCAUCGGUUUGUGAUUUUCUUCUUGCCUAAUUGUUUUUCCUACAAUAACUGUGGUUAGUUAAUAUCUCAUUGGCAUGUUACUUGCCUUGAGUGGCUAGAAAAUCUAGUGGUCGAUUAUUAUCUUCUUUAUCAGGUUUGUGUGGGAAAGGAAAAGGAAGCAAAAAGUAGCUCCGAAAAGAAAUUCAGAAGACAGAAAAUAUGGUUAAUAGCCGUCUUCUUCAUCACCCAUUAUCUCCAAAACGGACAAACAGAUGCACACCGUCCAUCGGUUUGUGAUUUUCUUCUUGCCUAAUUGUUUCUCAUACAAUAGCUGUGGUUAGUUAAUAUCUCAUUGGCACGUUACUUGCCUCGAGUGGCCAGCAAAAAUCUAGUGGUCGAUUAUUAUCUUCUUUAUCAGUUUGUGUGGCAAAGGGAAAAGGAAGCAAAAAAUAGCUCGGAAAAGAAAUUCCAAAAGACAAAAAAAGAAGGUUAAUUGCUGUCUUCUUUGUCAUGUGUGGUGAAGGGGCCAGCCUUUAUCUUCAAACGCAUGGGCAGAUGCACACUGUCCAUCGGUUUGUGAUUUUCUUCUUGCCCAAUUCUUACUCUUACAAUAUUUAUAAGAAAAGAAGAACUUAAAAUGUAGACUCAUGUAAUUUCCUGUAAAGAUUUAACUGAAUGACGAUACAAG